RNAcentral lists this ribosomal RNA (433 nucleotides) under uncultured bacterium. Its description in RNAcentral is "partial 16S ribosomal RNA". It matches the Rfam family "Bacterial small subunit ribosomal RNA", at positions 29 to 507 of the family's 1533-position model. The record is from RNAcentral.
AACGAACGCUGGCGGCAUGCCUAACACAUGCAAGUCGAACGAGACCUUCGGGUCUAGUGUCGCACGGGUGCGUAGCGCGUGGGAACCUGCCCUUAGGUUCGGAAUAACUCCCCGAAAGGGGUGCUAAUACCGGAUAAUGUCUUCGGACCAAAGAUUUAUCGCCUUUGGAUGGGCCCGCGUUGGGUUAGCUAGUUGGUAGGGUAAAAGCCUACCAAGGCGACGAUCCAUAGCUGGUCUGAGAGGAUGAUCAGCCACACUGGGACUGAGACACGGCCCAGACUCUCACGGAAGGCAGCAGUGGGGAAUAUUGGACAAUGGGCGAAAGCCUGAGCCAGCAAUGCCGCGUGAGUGAUGAAGGCCUUAGGGUUGUAAAGCUCUUUUACCCGGGAUGAUAAUGACAGUACCGGGAGAAUAAGCGACGGCUAACUCCGUG